Molecule: transfer RNA, 66 nt
Filed under: Thor amboinensis
Lineage: Eukaryota; Metazoa; Arthropoda; Malacostraca; Decapoda; Hippolytidae
Description: tRNA-Leu
Source: RNAcentral
AUUACUUUGGCAGAAUAGUGCAUUAGAUUUAGGAUUUAAUUAUAUAGUAAUUUACUAUAAGUAAUA